Molecule: ribosomal RNA, 1025 nt
Filed under: Talaromyces flavus
Lineage: Eukaryota; Fungi; Ascomycota; Eurotiomycetes; Eurotiales; Trichocomaceae
Description: SSU rRNA
Rfam family: Eukaryotic small subunit ribosomal RNA
Source: RNAcentral
CUCUUGUACCGUGCAACUGCGAAUGGCUCAUUAAAUCAGUUAUCGUUUAUUUGAUAGUACCCUACUACAUGGAUACCUGUGGUAAUUCUAGAGCUAAUACAUGCGCCAAACCCCGACUUCGGAAGGGGUGUAUUUAUUAGAUAAAAAACCAAUGCCCCUCGGGGCUCCUUGGUGAUUCAUAAUAACUUCACGAAUCGCAUGGCCUUGCGCCGGCGAUGGUUCAUUCAAAUUUCUGCCCUAUCAACUUUCGAUGGUAGGAUAGUGGCCUACCAUGGUGGCAACGGGUAACGGGGAAUUAGGGUUCGAUUCCGGAGAGGGAGCCUGAGAAACGGCUACCACAUCCAAGGAAGGCAGCAGGCGCGCAAAUUACCCAAUCCCGAUACGGGGAGGUAGUGACAAUAAAUACUGAUACAGGGCUCUUUUGGGUCUUGUAAUUGGAAUGAGAACAAUCUAAACCCCUUAACGAGGAACAAUUGGAGGGCAAGUCUGGUGCCAGCAGCCGCGGUAAUUCCAGCUCCAAUAGCGUAUAUUAAAGUUGUUGCAGUUAAAAAGCUCGUAGUUGAACCUUGGGCCCGUCCUGCCGGUCCGCCUCACCGCGAGUACUGGUCCGGAUGGGCCUUUCUUUCUGGGGAAUCCCAUGGCCUUCACUGGCUGUGGCGGGGGAACCAGGACUUUUACUGUUGAAAAAAUUAGAGUGUUCAAAGCAGGCCUUUGCUCGGAUACAUUAGCAUGGAAUAAUAGAAUAGGACGUGCGGUUCUAUUUUGUUGGUUUCUAGGACCGCCGUAAUGAUUAAUAGGGAUAGUCGGGGGCGUCAGUAUUCAGCUGUCAGAGGUGAAAUUCUUGGAUUUGCUGAAGACUAACUACUGCGAAAGCAUUCGCCAAGGAUGUUUUCAUUAAUCAGGGAACGAAAGUUAGGGGAUCGAAGACGAUCAGAUACCGUCGUAGUCUUAACCAUAAACUAUGCCGACUAGGGAUCGGGCGGGGUUUUUAUGAUGACCCGCUCGGCACCUUACGAGAAAUCAAA